GUCCUCAGGAGAAAAUUCAUAGCACUAAAUGCCUUCAUAAAAAAAGACAGAAAGUUGGGAAGGUCUGAGACUAGGGCCUCCACCCGCAGCCCUAGCAGGGCUCUCCCUGAGCCUGGGGAGGUGAGCUCCCAGAGAGCAGGGCUCCUCGUGAGGGCAGAAUGGGCAGGAGAAGCCGGUGCCUCCAGGCGGUCUGGCGGAUGCCUCCCUAACCGGAGCUUGGAACAGACUCACGGCCAGCCAAGCAAGUUCAAUGGCUGAGGUGAGGCAACGAGAGCCUCAUAACCCAAUUCAGACUACUCUACCCGGCC
RNAcentral lists this RNase P RNA (308 nucleotides) under Jaculus jaculus (lesser Egyptian jerboa). Its description in RNAcentral is "Nuclear RNase P (ENSJJAG00000006880.1)". It matches the Rfam family "Nuclear RNase P". From Rfam's summary of the family: Ribonuclease P (RNase P) is a ubiquitous endoribonuclease, found in archaea, bacteria and eukarya as well as chloroplasts and mitochondria. Its best characterised activity is the generation of mature 5'-ends of tRNAs by cleaving the 5'-leader elements of precursor-tRNAs. The record is from Rfam by way of RNAcentral. Lineage: Eukaryota; Metazoa; Chordata; Mammalia; Rodentia; Dipodidae.